Long non-coding RNA from Labrus mixtus (cuckoo wrasse), 820 nucleotides. RefSeq lists it as uncharacterized. NCBI's taxonomy places the organism in Eukaryota, Metazoa, Chordata, Actinopteri, Labriformes, Labridae. The record is from RefSeq and is a predicted model, not a curated record. The transcript is spliced from 3 exons.
GCUUUUUGUGGAGGGGAAAUAAGCUCAUAUUUACCUUCUUUUUGUGUUUUUUCGGGUUCAUGGAGAAAUUCAGUGCUGCGGUUUUCUGAUUUAUAAAAUAAAAAAGUGGGUUUUGACUUGCAACAACAUGAUUUGUAUGCCGGGGCGAAAGGACAACGCUGGAUUGGAGGCAGAAAAACAGCCACUCGCCUGUUCCUGCUCACUCAGACGCUGGUGAAAGACGAGCAACAAGGAGGCAGGUUUAAUCACAGCAACCUGGAUGCUGGCAGAGGAGGAGAGAGAGGUGAAGGAGGGAUGAGAUGAGAGAUAAGAAGAGAGACCUGUUUGGUAUGCACCUGUCUCUACGGAUCAAUAAAGGUAAUUUGGGCUGAUUCCUCCCUGUAGGCCUCUUAGCAGACAAGACGGGGAGAGGGGUCAGCCUCUGCUGAGCUGCGGGGAGCUGGAAUAACUUAGAAACACACUCUGCAAAUGACUGCCCCUGUUUGAGAAUCUCUCAUUCAGAUGUUCCUCUGCGGUGUGAUGCGAAGUUCUUACACCAACUGGACUGCAGGUACAAGCACGUGUGCUGUCCUGUUGCUUUUGAAUCCUGCACAAAUUUGGAACUCUCUACAUGUAUGGAAGAAGUUACUUCAUAAAAAAAUAUAUAAACAUUAUGCAUUUGGUGCCUUUUAUACAAGGGGAGUAAGUUGAAGGGUGUAACAUAAAGAACAGGAGAAUACAAGAAAAAAGGCAAAAUACAACAAGUUUAAACGCUGUGUGUGUGUGUGUGUGUGUAGUGGAGAUCUGUCCAUGCCAACCAAUGGAAAUCAAACAAUUUAAA